This 232-nucleotide long non-coding RNA is filed under the name Hordeum vulgare. RNAcentral describes it as "long non-coding RNA (HVUL_LNC014918)". The record is from RNAcentral. Lineage: Eukaryota; Viridiplantae; Streptophyta; Magnoliopsida; Poales; Poaceae.
UUCAAGCUAUUCAAGAGGAUGUGCAUGCAGAAAACUGCAGGAAAAAUGAAUGCUAUCUGGGCAGGUAUCAAUGGUGAGAUCGAGCGCGCAUCCCUCCCGACGAGAGAAGACCGGAGGGGUCGUCAAACAGUAAUAAAUUUGAGCCAGUGGAUCAGUGAGAAUUGUCCCAAUUUGUACGCAGUCUUAGGACACUAGCGCUAGAUACGGUAUAAUGACAAGCAACAUGUCCGAG